GCUUCCGUAGCUCAGCCUGGAUAGAGCGUCGCCCUUCUAAGGCGAAAGUCGCAGGUUCAAAUCCUGCCGGAAGCG
RNAcentral lists this transfer RNA (75 nucleotides) under Candidatus Pacearchaeota archaeon. Its description in RNAcentral is "tRNA-Arg". It matches the Rfam family "tRNA". From Rfam's summary of the family: Transfer RNA (tRNA) molecules are approximately 80 nucleotides in length. Their secondary structure includes four short double-helical elements and three loops (D, anti-codon, and T loops). Lineage: Archaea; Nanobdellati. The record is from RNAcentral.